AUUGAACGCUGGCGGCAUGCCUUACACAUGCAAGUCGAACGGUAACGGGCCUUUUGCUGCCGGCGUCAGGCGCACGCGUGAGUACUACAUCUGAACGUGCCCCAGCUAGGGGGAGAACAAGUCGAAAGCUGUGCUAUUACCCCAUACGAUCUCUGGGUGAGAGCAGGGGGGCGCAAGGCCUCUCGCGCUCUCAGCGGCCGAGGGCGGAUUAGGUAGUUGGUGGGGUAAAAGCUUACCAAGCCGACGAGCUGUAACUGGUCUGAGAGGAUGAUCAGACACACUGGGACUGAGACACGGCCCAGACUCCUACGGGAGGCAGCAGUGGGGAAUUUUGGACAAUGGGCGAAAGCCUGAUCCAGCCAUGCCGCGUGUAGGAUGAAGGCCUUCGGGUUGUAAAGUGCUUUUGUACGGGAGGAAAAGCCUUCUGUUAAUACAGGGCGGUCAUGACGGUACCGAAAGAAUAAGCACCGGCUAACUACGUG
RNAcentral lists this ribosomal RNA (482 nucleotides) under uncultured bacterium. RNAcentral's name for it is "partial 16S ribosomal RNA". It matches the Rfam family "Bacterial small subunit ribosomal RNA", at positions 30 to 507 of the family's 1533-position model. The record is from RNAcentral.